Molecule: ribosomal RNA, 253 nt
Filed under: uncultured bacterium
Lineage: Bacteria
Description: partial 16S ribosomal RNA
Rfam family: Bacterial small subunit ribosomal RNA
Source: RNAcentral
UACAGAGGGUGCAAGCGUUAAUCGGAAUUACUGGGCGUAAAGCGUGCGUAGUCGGUUAUCUAAGUCAGGUGUGAAAUCCCCGGGCUCAACCUGGGAAUUGCAUUUGAUACUGGAUAGCUAGAGUUCGGCAGAGGGAAGUGGAAUUUCUGGUGUAGCGGUGAAAUGCGUAGAUAUCAGAAGGAAUAUCAGUGGCGAAAGCGACUUCCUGGACCAGAACUGACGAUCAGGCACGAAAGCGUGGGGAGCAAACAGG